CCAAAUGCAAAGAACGGGAGAAGUAAGUGAGUCAAGCUUCACAGAGAGCCGGGGGACGGUGCAACCCGGUAAGCGGACUGGCUGAAAUACACCCGGGAGCAGCAGGCCGAAAGAAUGCGAGUAGGCUGCGCCGGCAGGCCGCCGUUAUCAGGCCGGAAGGCUUCAUACCUUCUGUAAGCGGCUUUUACCGGCAAUUUGGGUGGUACCGCGGGUUAUCCCGUCCCUGUU
This 228-nucleotide non-coding RNA is filed under the name Acetonema longum. Its description in RNAcentral is "T-box sequence". It matches the Rfam family "T-box leader". Rfam says of the family: Uncharged tRNA acts as the effector for transcription antitermination of genes in the T-box leader family. T-boxes are found upstream of many aminoacyl-tRNA synthetase genes and some amino acid biosynthetic genes usually in Gram-positive bacteria. The anticodon of a specific tRNA base pairs to a specifier sequence within the T-box motif, and the NCCA acceptor tail of the tRNA base pairs to a conserved bulge in the T-box antiterminator hairpin. The record is from RNAcentral. Lineage: Bacteria; Bacillati; Bacillota; Negativicutes; Acetonemataceae.